Molecule: non-coding RNA, 149 nt
Organism: Pimephales promelas (fathead minnow)
Lineage: Eukaryota; Metazoa; Chordata; Actinopteri; Cypriniformes; Leuciscidae
Source: RefSeq, a predicted model, not a curated record
AAGGAGCGCCACGUUUGGCUGUUUGCAGAUGAGAUGUUAUACUGCAAAUAAUUAGUCAAGUAUUUUUUCCUGACUUUCCUGCCUCUUUGGAACAAAUCCAUUCACAUUUACUUUGGAGAGCACCGGGACAUUGACAUAAACAGGACUUU